RNAcentral lists this ribosomal RNA (433 nucleotides) under uncultured bacterium. RNAcentral's name for it is "partial 16S ribosomal RNA". It matches the Rfam family "Bacterial small subunit ribosomal RNA", at positions 29 to 507 of the family's 1533-position model. The record is from RNAcentral.
AACGAACGCUGGCGGCAUGCCUAACACAUGCAAGUCGAACGAGACCUUCGGGUCUAGUUGCGCACGGGUGCGUAACGCGUGGGAACCUGCCCUUAUGUUCGGAAUAACUCCCCGAAAGGGGUGCUAAUACCGGAUAAUGUCUUCUGACCAAAGAUUUAUCGCCUUGGGAUGGGCCCGCGUUGGAUUAGCUAGUUGGUAGGGUAAAAGCCUACCAAGGCUACGAUCCAUAGCUGGUCUGAGAGGAAGAUCAGCCACACUGGGACUGAGACACGGCCCAGACUCCUACGGGAGGCAGCAGUGCGGAAUAUUGGACAAUGGGCGAAAGCCUGAUCCAGCAAUGCCGCGUGAGUGAUGAAGGCCUUAGAGUUGUAAAGCUCUUUUACCCGGGAUGAUAAUGACAGUACCGGGAGAAUAAGCUCCGGCUAACUCCGUG